CCAGUUCGGAUUGUAGUCUGCAACCCGACUACAUGAAGCUGGAAUCGCUAGUAAUCGCGGAUCAGAAUGCCGCGGUGAAUACGUUCCCGGGUCUUGUACACACCGCCCGUCACACCAUGGGAGCCGGAAAUGCCCGAAGUCAGUGACCCAACCAAUAAGGAGGGAGCUGCCGAAGGCAGGUCUGGUGACUGGGGUGAAGUCGUAACAAGGUAAC
Molecule: ribosomal RNA, 214 nt
Filed under: uncultured bacterium
Lineage: Bacteria
Description: partial 16S ribosomal RNA
Rfam family: Bacterial small subunit ribosomal RNA
Source: RNAcentral